UACGGAGGGUGCAAACGUUGCUCGGAAUUAUUGGGCGUAAAGCGCACGUAGGCGGUCCGACAAGUCGGGUGUGAAAGCCCUCGGCUCAACCGAGGAAGUGCAUCCGAAACUAUCGGACUUGAAUACUGGAGAGGGUCGCGGAAUUCCCGGUGUAGAGGUGAAAUUCGUAGAUAUCGGGAGGAACACCAGUGGCGAAGGCGGCGACCUGGACAGAUAUUGACGCUGAGGUGCGAAAGCGUGGGGAGCAAACAGG
This 253-nucleotide ribosomal RNA is filed under the name uncultured bacterium. RNAcentral describes it as "partial 16S ribosomal RNA". It matches the Rfam family "Bacterial small subunit ribosomal RNA", at positions 524 to 776 of the family's 1533-position model. The record is from RNAcentral.